Eucalyptus grandis is the source of this 1995-nucleotide long non-coding RNA. RefSeq lists it as uncharacterized. The record is from RefSeq and is a predicted model, not a curated record. NCBI's taxonomy places the organism in Eukaryota, Viridiplantae, Streptophyta, Magnoliopsida, Myrtales, Myrtaceae. The transcript has 3 exons.
UCUGAAGAAAUAAGAGUCGUCGCUUGUCGUGGCGUUGGAAGCCAGUCAUCGUUGGAAGCUGCUGCCUUGGAGAGGAGAGGAGAGGGGAGGAGAUCCGAUCAUUUCCAUAGUGCUGGUCAGCUGUUUGACGAAAUGCGGAUAUGGAGUAGGAACUGGGGUAACAUUUAUCUGAAAUCGGCGUGUCGCUUUCGGCUUGUGCAAUUGAUUUCUUUGUAUAUAGAUGAACGAUGACGAGAAAUACAACAGUGCAUUUUGCACCUCCCAGUCUCCUGUAUUUUUUGUUGUUAUCAGUAUCCCCGUCUCCUAAAUGUAAGGCUGCAAGAUAUACUCUGGAGAUUAUUUUACGUGUGGUUACAUUACUCUUUCGCUUUGAACAACGGCGAUGAAAUUGCUGGAUUAUUUGUCAAUCGGGGACGCCUGGCAAAUUUUCCUCUUCUCCUGCGACCAAGAACUCGCGGUAUAUAUCAUGGAGGUAAAUAUUAUGAGAGGAUUUUGGCUUUCUCUAACUGGAAUUCUGUUCUCACUUGACUAAUUAAGUCAAAAAGAUAAUAUUCGCUCCAGUAUCCGUUCAGACCUUUGAAGGGUCUCAUAAAAUCUCUUCUGUUGAGUUGCUGAUCUAUGUCCUCUUCAACUAUUAUGAUUGUUUAUCUUCUUCUGGAAUCACAGACUGAUGUUAAACUUCCACUUACCACGUCUAUGUGUCAUUUGGCCCUUGCUGUGGCUCUGCUGAGUUUGAACUUGGAAAGGUGUGCCCAGUACGGAAACCUCGUGCUUUAAAAAGGGCUUCAUGCUGUGUGGAAGGAUACAUCCACGUAAAAGCUGUAUUGUCGAGCCUGAACAAUUACAUAUGUUAUCUUUUGGAAUGCAGGAGCAUCCCAAGUGGCAAUUGAAGAGUGGGUGAAGAUGAUGGAUUUUCCAGUUGCCUUCUUCAGUUUCCACUCCUCAGGAAGCUUCGAAUUAUGAUGAGCUCUCCAUGAAACAGAGAGCUUGAACAUUCCGAAUAGCUGAAGUACCCAUCGGAACCAGAUGAUCCACUUCAAUAUAUACUCAUGCUGAGAGGAAUAGGAGAACUGAUAUCGAGCUUUAUUCAUGCAAAAACAAACGUCUCUUCAAGGCCUUGCUUAGCAUGCGGAAGUCAAAGAAAGGACAGCAAGUUAUCGAAGUUCCUGGACGAGAGCUAAGAAGAACAGGGGAUGAAAGAAAACGGAUAGGCCCAUUAUCACGGUUUCUUUGCACCGCAAGUAUGACCUAUACUGUAUUUGUUAUGGUAGCUUAAGCUAGCUUUAAGAUUUUCAGAAUAAUUUAAUGCAAUAAGAAACAGAAUGAAAAGAAAGUCCUGAUAAAAUUAAAUAAUUUCUACAAGGAAUUCCUUCGGAAGAUGGUUGCCGCUCUAUAGUCUACAAUUCGCUCUUGCCUGUUAUUCCAAACAGAGAAGGUAAAGAUUGAAGAAUGUUUAGAAAGCUGAGAUACUGUUUCCUCCUGGUAAUUAAGUAAUGAUAGGCUCACAAGCCACAAUUCACAAGACACAGCUAAGACCAGGCAACCUGGAAGGGACCAAUAAAAUUGCUUAAGCAGCUAUUUAUCAAAAUCACAGGCUGCUUUUCCCUCAGUUUGACUAAGGAGCUGCUGUUACAUGAUCUGCAUGCUAAGACACAGCUAAAACUGGGCAACCUUCAAUGGCCAGAUAUGUGUUAUCUAACGAAUAUCUAAAGUGAGCAUCUCUCUCGAUAGGAAUCAAACGAGUGUUGUGUACAAACGAACGGUCUAUGAUGCAACUUUGUCCUGCCAUAUAAAUAUUUGAAGACAUGAGAAGACACACAGAAUUAUUUCUGCUUCCUCAACUGAACUUCUUCACCAUGCUUUCACUUGUCUUUAAUUUAACUAAUAUCUCAGAUUGACACGGGUGGCCUCUUUCCAUUUCGAUAUGUAAACAUAGUGUACCUCAAUAUGUUGAAUGUCGCUGCAAAUACGUUGAUUAUGUUGUAUAACUAAAAU